UUUAUAUGUACCACACGUGUGCAGAAACCCUCAGAGGCCAGAAGAGGACACCAAGCCUUCUAGUGUGUUUUUGGCUUUUGUUCUGUUUUGUUUUUUAGUGAAUCAUUCCUCCAUCUUAGAGAGUUUCUUUUAACUUCUGGGAGUCAUGCUUUUGGGAAUUCACUUUAGGAAAAAAAAAGUGAUGAAUUGUGCCUUUGUUCUUACUGAAGUGACUCACUUUGAGAUAACAGUAGAUAAAACCAUGGCAUAAUACUCAGACAGUUUUAGGGUAACUUACCUCAGAUUCUCAGAACAAAUUUGAGCUGGGGAAAAAGCAAAUUAUUCUCUGGAAACUUCACUAAACAGCAGUAAACACUAGUGUGGAUAUAACCUUCAGCUAUUGGCAUCAGCUGAGAUGGCAAUGCCAACUGUAGUCCUGGCAAUAUGAUCUUGAUAGCAAAUGAUCACUGUGGUAGUCACUACAUCUUGACUCCAAAGGAAGAGUAUUUUGCUAAGAUUCAGGGAAAAAGGAAUGAGGAUAUGAAUGGUAAUGAGACUAAAGUCAUCAAGAUAAUUCCAUUCUCCUUGUCAAUGAGUGAUGUGGUUACAUCUCUAGCCCCAGAGACAUAGUGGAUGAGAUUUCUCUGCCUGAUGAAUCCCUCUCACCUAUUCAUGGUAAACAUCCUUAGUGUCAUUACCAGGGAAUACAGAGUUCCUCCAGUGAGUCCUUGGUCUUCUAGAUAAAAGAAUUGAAAAUCCAGAGUCAAAAGGAAACUUGAGGACAAUAUUGGAAUUUGACAGAAAAUGAAUCACAAGGCAGACAAGCUGAAGAUUUUGGCAGGAAGAUGGAGGAGAGGAAGUGACAAAGUUAUACUUUCUAAGAUGGAAGGGUUCUCUCCUGUGAUGGUAAAGCAGACAUGUCUUCUAAUCACAAGAGGCCAUUUGUUUCACUUGAGUAAAUGAACUUUCUGCUCCUUCUGUUCUCUUAAGGAAGCCGAAGGCAAAAAUGGAUACAAGAAAUUAAUCAUCACCAUGAUCACCAGCCCAGCUUUAGCAAGAAAGGUUUUUGCCUUCCUGGAUGCUUAAUGGGAUAUGAAAAUUGUUGACCCAGAGAAGACUUUAGCAUGAGUGGUAUUGCCAAACUGAAUGCGUUGUUGCAGACAAAUGUCAGCUGCCAAAAAUGAAGAUGGAUGGUAUGUGUGGUCCAGGGAGAGAGCCAACGCCAAGCUGAUGCGGAGACAAAGCUAGCGGCUCGAAUGUGAUGCGGGUUUACUUUUCUCUGCCGUGUCCCCCACCGCCCCUGCUUCUGACCUUGGCGCCUUGAGACAUGUAUUUAGCUUGUGGUCAACCUCUGGUUUCGACCCUGGCUUCUUAAUCUCCCCUGGCCCCCAUUCCUGUCAUAUCCUAAUCACUCCCGUCACUCCUCACGCGUCCAAGACAGACAAUUACUGCUCGUGAGCCCGUCUCCCCUGCAUGCUGUUCCGCUUCGGUCUUUGGCAAAUCGAAGGUCCAGGCAAGGCUGAGUAGAAGGGCGUGACUUGCUGCCACGUCUGAAUGAGCGUGGGCAAGCUUUGCAAGGCUGUCCUGUUCCAGGGAUGAGGCAGGCGAUGACCACGAACUGGGGAAAAUUGGUCGGCAACAGGAGAGGCCUUCUCCGGCUGGCUGUCGGGGCUCACGAACAGAAGAGGGCGGGGCACCAAGGCCUGGCUCUGUGGGUCUACUCAGGUACGAGCUCACCAGAAUCCACACACGCACGCGCAUGACUGGUGCUGUAAAUUCUGUACUGGUUUCGGGAACGCAGGCUUGAAAACAAAACUGCAUAGAAAUUAGUUUUCGCAUUUUGUGGUUGGAGUAGUUGUCGUGCUGUGAGAUUUGGGGGUGGGGUGCGAGAAAAGAUAAUAGACAAAUAGAAAAUUUGCGUAGAGAACUUGAUUUCUGUGUCCAGAAGGAAGGGUUUCCUUGUCUUUCUUAGUAAGUUUGUUAUUAUUAUUAUUAUUAUUAUUAUUAUUAUUAUUAAAUUUGCUUGUAGUGUGGACAUAUGGCAUUAUGGAUUCUAAGCUAAAGAGGAUUUUGCUUAAUAUUAUAAAACUUUUGUGAACCCCUCCCCCCUUUUUUACCAGCUAUAUUUUGUUUGAAUGCAUUCCUGAUGUUUGUAGCCAGAUACUUCCCCAGCUAGCCUUUUCUGGUCAAUGUCUAUAGGUGUUGCCUUGUCUGGGGUCUCCAAAAGACCUUCCAAAGCCGUUUGGCUGCUGGUAUUACUCUGGGCUCAUGAAACACUUUAACGAUAUGAAAUAAAAUUUACAUAUCCUUGAUAAAUCUCUCUUUCUCUCUCUCUCUCUUUUUCCCUUUUGCUGGCUAAGCAAAUUAUCUACCAUUGAGCUAAAUUCCCCAGCCUA
Molecule: long non-coding RNA, 2375 nt
Organism: Meriones unguiculatus (Mongolian gerbil)
Lineage: Eukaryota; Metazoa; Chordata; Mammalia; Rodentia; Muridae
Exons: 5
Source: RefSeq, a predicted model, not a curated record